Molecule: unclassified non-coding RNA, 2716 nt
Filed under: Hevea brasiliensis (rubber tree)
Lineage: Eukaryota; Viridiplantae; Streptophyta; Magnoliopsida; Malpighiales; Euphorbiaceae
Source: RNAcentral
AUAAAAUAUAAAAUUGUAGACGAGUAAAAUCUUUUUAGAGUAGAAAUUUCCAUUCAUGCUCUGCUAGUCAUACUCAACUAAAAAAUCCUUCCGCUCCACCAAAAUAUUCCAAGUUCACUCUCUUAAAAAAAGCCAACGUAACAAGCCAUACAAACUAGGAAUUAGAGUUUGCAGUAACAAAAUUUAUCCUCACAAUACAGAAACAUGUUGAAACAUGGGCAGAAAAUUGGAAGAAGCUUAUGAUGCAGAGAGUGGAAUUGGCCUCACUGCACCUUGGAUUCGCCUAAACACAGUCCUGACCCUUUCCUUGAGACCUUCAUUUUCGCUUUCAACAUCCCCACUCUGUUUGUCGAGCUGUGCCACGUUCCCAUCAACAGUUAUGACCAGCUUCCCAUUCUCUCCACGCUUCACAUCUCCAAAAAGUGAAACAAGGAGUGCAUGAAUCACCUUCUCUGCUUUUUUCCCAUUUUCUUCCUCUGAUUUCACAGCCUCUGACUCAACUACCACCUUGGGAACCUCCCUACUGAUGUUCAAAACUAGAGCUACAACUGAGUCAGACACCAUAUCACUUAUAGGAUCUGCAUUCCAAUGAAGUGAAAUAUGUUUAUCAGACUCAAGCUUCACAGUCACUCUCUCAUGCACUUGCAAUGUCGGAACCCCAGAUUCCUCAUCUGUGCCGGAUUCCACAAUCUCAUAUAUCUGUUCAAGCCGGUGCUUUAUCACACCAAAGGCACCAGAGAAUGGAAUGGUGAUUCUCUGAGUAAUAUUUGCUGUUGAUAGCUGGGAGAAUACAUGGAGAUCUUCAGGUGCCAUAAUUUGGUAAGUGAAGCCCUUCUUUACUAGUAUGCCGCUGACAGUUUCACCGACAUCUGGGGUCUUCUCAGCUAGUUUCCCUAUUGUUUUUGCCAUUUUCUCAGAGUUGAAAUACAUCUCAACAGACUGGCAAUUCUUAGGAGUAAUGAUUUUGGUGUUGCCAUCAGCAAACUCUGUAAUAAGCUUCUGUUUGAGCCUCCCCAUUUCAUUAGCUUCUCCAUGAACAAGAAUUAUGUUAGGAGGCAUCAGCUCUUUCAAAAAUGUACUUGUCUGAGCAUAAUCCGCAUGGGCAGAGAAUGAAAUAUAAUGGACUUGCAUGUUCAGAGGAGCAGUUAGUCCAUUCAUUAGAGUGACCUCCUUUGGUUCAUUAAUGAUGGUUUUAGCUAGCGUUCCUUCAACAACAUAUCCAGGUAUAACACAAGCAUUUUUCUUAUCAGAGCACCACAUAUCAAAUAACUGCCUUGACAACCCGCUUUGCAGUCCACCAGGGCUAGCCAUGACCACUGAUGGACCCACAUCAGUAAAAUCCUCAAUGCUAUUUAGUGGUGAUAUGUGCUUGAAUUUGAAGGGAUUUGAGUUCGCAAACUGGUUGCGGAUCCUCUCAUUCAUUGAAAGGAUAUAUGUCUGGUAGACAGUCAUACACUUCUUCGCAAGAGGAGAAGCAUAAUAUAUGGGAAUGUUAUGGAGCUCAGAAUGGUUUGACCAGUACUCAUCAAGGAUCAAGAGAAGUUCUUGGGCACGACCAAGGGCAAAUGCUGGGAUUAGAACACGACCCCCUUGAGAAAUAGUUGAGUGGAUAACAUCAGUGAACCGCUUCUCCCGAAUGUGCCGAGGUUGAUGGAGCUGGACUCCAUAAGUGGAUUCAAUUACACAUAUGUCAGGGGAGAAUUGUGGCAUCUCAGCAGCACGAAGAUGCCGAUCUUCUUCACGUGAAUAGUCUCCAGUAUAGAGGACUCGAACACCAGCAAUGUCAACCAUGAACAUGGCAGCACCGAGGACAUGGCCAGCAGUAUAGCACCAAAAUUUAAUGCCAUUCACCUCCACUGUUUGAUGGAAGUCAAUAACCUGCAAUUACAUGAGAGGGAUUGUAAAUUUAAAUUUACAUGCUUGCACAUUCUCAACCACAAAACUAUACAUGCACAAACAGAUAUGAGUUCAUAAAGCGAACAAUAUUAGGAUGUCAGGAUGGCAAAAGAAAUGAAAUUUAAAAAGCAAAUUAGCAUUAUUGACAGACAUUCAAUCACAUUCUUAGAAUGUCACUUAAUGCAACUCAAAGAUAAUAAUGGGGCAGACCCCUUUCUAUUGUGGUUGCAUAGUUCCAUGGAAUCCAAUUGAAAGUCUAAUAAAAUCCCAACUUCAACUCUUCUAUCAUUACUAUGCACCGUUAGAAGCUCUACACCAACCAUGAUAAGGAGGGAGAAAUCCCCAUUUACAGGAAUCGCGGAAGUUCAAUUCAUUUAGAUGCACACAGUCCAAAUAUUCCACGAAAAAUUGUUUGAUGAGAAUCAAAUUCAACACUUCGAGAAGCACCAAAAAGCAACUCCUUCGACUUUACAUCACAUAGCUUUCUGAAAAGAAGAAUCCUAACACUCCACAUAUCAUUUUUUUCCCCAUCAUCAGCAUAGAUAUGUCCGAUACAACAAGUAGAAGAAUGUGGAAACCGUUCCAAAUGAUACCUAAAUUUGUAUUCUGUAGUGCUUAUAGUAUGAACUUAAUGAGCAAACUAUGACCUAGCACGCUAAAAACCUACAUAUGAACAAAGCCAACACUCAUCGAGUUGACAACCAAUGCUUAACUACAAUUAGCUUUGCCCGCCACUACUUCAUAGUUAAAUUAAAAGUUUGCUGCACCAUCACAUAAAAUGUUACUGAGCCAUUAGGCUAUGUCCAAUUAGCAUUAAACA